AGACACACAUUGACUUUGAGAGACUAUUAGAAGAAUUAGGAUCAGAAGCAAUCAAUCUACCUGAUAUAUCACAAGGUUGGUCUGAUGGUUUGAGACGAGCAAUAGAUCAUCAAGUAAUGAUUCUGUCUCAGUCUCCAGAGACGUUUGGUACAUGACUACUGAUUAAUAAACUAAAAGAAACAAAUGAUGAUAAGGUGAUUGACGGAGUAAUUAGUGUGGGUGUGGUAUUACAAGAUUUGAUGUAUAUUAAUCAAUCAAAGUACAUACUGUAUUUCCUUAAUUAAAAGCCGCAUGCGAAUAAAUGUUGGGGUAGCAAAACUAGCAAUAGAAUUGAACUAUAAAUACUACCUUAAUACUGAACUAUAGUACUACCUUAAGUUCCUGAAGUCAAGUGCAUGAGGUCCCAGGUUCGAAUCCUGCUCU
RNAcentral lists this long non-coding RNA (423 nucleotides) under Amphimedon queenslandica. RNAcentral's name for it is "uncharacterized LOC109586407, transcript variant X2". Lineage: Eukaryota; Metazoa; Porifera; Demospongiae; Haplosclerida; Niphatidae. The record is from RNAcentral.